Molecule: transfer RNA, 72 nt
Filed under: Camelus ferus (Wild Bactrian camel)
Lineage: Eukaryota; Metazoa; Chordata; Mammalia; Artiodactyla; Camelidae
Rfam family: tRNA
About the family: Transfer RNA (tRNA) molecules are approximately 80 nucleotides in length. Their secondary structure includes four short double-helical elements and three loops (D, anti-codon, and T loops). Further hydrogen bonds mediate the characteristic L-shaped molecular structure. tRNAs have two regions of fundamental functional importance: the anti-codon, which is responsible for specific mRNA codon recognition, and the 3' end, to which the tRNAs corresponding amino acid is attached (by aminoacyl-tRNA synthetases). tRNAs cope with the degeneracy of the genetic code in two manners: having more than one tRNA (with a specific anti-codon) for a particular amino acid; and 'wobble' base-pairing, i.e. permitting non-standard base-pairing at the 3rd anti-codon position.
Source: Rfam by way of RNAcentral
GAGGGUAUAGCGCAGUGUUAGAGUGCAUACCUAGCAUGCAUGAGGUCCUGGGUUCAAUCCCCGGUACCUCCA